This 197-nucleotide ribosomal RNA is filed under the name uncultured bacterium. RNAcentral's name for it is "partial 16S ribosomal RNA". It matches the Rfam family "Bacterial small subunit ribosomal RNA", at positions 303 to 526 of the family's 1533-position model. The record is from RNAcentral.
GCCUCCCUCCCGCCGCCACUACACGACUCCGUACGGGAGGCGAGCAGUGAGGAAUUUCCGCAAUGGGCGCAAGCCUGACGGAGCGACGCCGCGUGUGGAAGAAGGCCUUCGGGUCGUAAACCACUGUCGAAGGGAAGAUAAUGACGGUACCCUUGGAGGAAGCCCGGCUAACUACGUGCCAGCAGCCGCGGUAAUUC